GACGAAGGACCCAAGCGUUAUCCGGAUUCAUUGGGCUUAAAGGGCGCGUAGGCGGGUUGAUAAGUCAGGGGUGAAAGCCCAACGCUUAACGUUGGAACUGCCAUUGAUACUGUCGAUCUUGAAUGUGUGUGAUGUGGGCGGAAUAUGACAUGUAGCGGUGAAAUGCUUAGAUAUGUCAUAGAACACCGAUUGCGAAGGCAGCUCACAAGGCCACUAUUGACGCUGAGGCACGAAAGCGUGGGGAGCAAACAGG
This 253-nucleotide ribosomal RNA is filed under the name uncultured bacterium. RNAcentral describes it as "partial 16S ribosomal RNA". It matches the Rfam family "Bacterial small subunit ribosomal RNA", at positions 524 to 776 of the family's 1533-position model. The record is from RNAcentral.